Molecule: ribosomal RNA, 484 nt
Filed under: uncultured bacterium
Lineage: Bacteria
Description: bacterial SSU rRNA
Rfam family: Bacterial small subunit ribosomal RNA
Source: RNAcentral
AUUGAACGCUGGCGGCAUGCCUUACACAUGCAAGUCGAACGGUAACAGGUCUUCGGAUGCUGACGAGUGGCGAACGGGUGAGUAAUACAUCGGAACGUGCCCGAGAGUGGGGGAUAACGCAGCGAAAGCUGUGCUAAUACCGCAUACGAUCUACGGAUGAAAGCAGGGGAUUCGCAAGGACCUUGCGCUCAUGGAGCGGCCGAUGGCAGAUUAGGUAGUUGGUGGGAUAAAAGCUUACCAAGCCGACGAUCUGUAGCUGGUCUGAGAGGACGACCAGCCACACUGGGACUGAGACACGGCCCAGACUCCUACGGGAGGCAGCAGUGGGGAAUUUUGGACAAUGGGGGAAACCCUGAUCCAGCCAUGCCGCGUGCAGGAUGAAGGCCUUCGGGUUGUAAACUGCUUUUGUACAGAACGAAAAAGUCUUUAAUAACACUAGAGGCUCAUGACGGUACUGUAAGAAUAAGCACCGGCUAACUACGUG